Molecule: microRNA precursor, 51 nt
Filed under: Ciona intestinalis (vase tunicate)
Lineage: Eukaryota; Metazoa; Chordata; Ascidiacea; Phlebobranchia; Cionidae
Description: microRNA cin-mir-4194 precursor
Source: miRBase by way of RNAcentral
UGACGUAAAACGUGUGUGACGCAAGCCAGUGUGUGGUAUAUAUGUGUGUGG